This 484-nucleotide ribosomal RNA is filed under the name uncultured bacterium. RNAcentral describes it as "partial 16S ribosomal RNA". It matches the Rfam family "Bacterial small subunit ribosomal RNA", at positions 30 to 507 of the family's 1533-position model. The record is from RNAcentral.
AUUGAACGCUGGCGGCAGGCCUAACACAUGCAAGUCGAGCGGAUGAAGGGAGCUUGCUCCUGGAUUCAGCGGCGGACGGGUGAGUAAUGCCUAGGAAUCUGCCUGGUAGUGGGGGAUAACGUCCGGAAACGGGCGCUAAUACCGCAUACGUCCUGAGGGAGAAAGUGGGGGAUCUUCGGACCUCACGCUAUCAGAUGGGCCUAGGUCGGAUUAGCUAGUUGGUGGGGUAAAGGCCUACCAAGGCGACGAUCCGUAACUGGUCUGAGAGGAUGAUCAGUCACACUGGAACUGAGACACGGUCCAGACUCCUACGGGAGGCAGCAGUGGGGAAUAUUGGACAAUGGGCGAAAGCCUGAUCCAGCCAUGCCGCGUGUGUGAAGAAGGUCUUCGGAUUGUAAAGCUCUUUCGGUUGGGAAGAAGGGCAGUAAGUUAAUACCUGGCUGUUAUGACGGUACCAGCAGAAUAAGCACCGGCUAACUUCGUG